GAUCAUUACAGAGAUCAUGCCCUCUACGGGUAGACCUCCCACCCUGUGUUAUUUACUUUGUUGUUUUGGCAGGCCGCCUUCGGGCCCUUAGCUUCGGCUGAGGUGCGCCUGUCAAGCAACUCAAACUCUGAAAUUUAGUGUUGUCUGAGUCUUUAAAUAAUAAAGUUAAAACUUUCAACAACGGAUCUCUUGGUUCUGGCAUCGAUGAAGAACGCAGCGAAAUGCGAUAAGUAAUGUGAAUUGCAGAAUUCAGUGAAUCAUCGAAUCUUUGAACGCACAUUGCGCCCUUUGGCAUUCCGAGGGGCAUGCCCGUUCGAGCGUCAUUUCACCACUCAAGCAUUGCUUGGUAUUGGGCGUCGCGUUCGUCGCGCGCCUCAAAAUCUCCUGGCCCUGUGGCCCGGCCCUAAGCGUUGUGGCACUUUUCAGUUCCGCUCUAGGCGUCUGGGUGGCGGUUGGCCGUUAAACCAUACUACAAGGUUGACCUCGGAUCGGGUAGGGAUACCCGCUGAACUUAAGCAUAUCAAUAAGCGGAGGAAAAGAAACCAACUGGGAUUGCCCUAGUAACGGCGAGUGAAGCGGCAACAGCUCAAAUUUGAAAUCGGCCCACCGGUCGAGUUGUAAUUUGCAGAGGAUGCUUCUGGGCAGCGGCCGGUCUAAGUUCCUUGGAGCAGGACGUCACAGAGGGUGAGAAUCCCGUAUGUGACCGGCGCGCACCCUCUACGUAGCUCCUUCGACGAGUCGAGUUGUUUGGGAAUGCAGCUCUAAAUGGGAGGUAAAUUUCUUCUAAAGCUAAAUACCGGCCAGAGACCGAUAGCGCACAAGUAGAGUGAUCGAAAGAUGAAAAGCACUUUGGAAAGAGAGUUAAAAAGCACGUGAAAUUGUUGAAAGGGAAGCGCUUGCCACCAGACUUGACGGCGGGGUUCCGCCGGUCUUUUGACCGGUCCACUCCCCGCCGGCAGGCCAACAUCGUCUGGGGCCGCCGGAUAAGACGUCGGGAAUGUAGCUCCUCGGAGUGUUAUAGCCCGUCGUGAUGCGGCGCGCCCCGGGCGAGGUCCGCGCU
This 1060-nucleotide ribosomal RNA is filed under the name uncultured fungus. RNAcentral's name for it is "eukaryotic LSU rRNA". The stretch from base 479 to 1060 matches the Rfam family "Eukaryotic large subunit ribosomal RNA", at positions 1 to 524 of the family's 3401-position model. The record is from RNAcentral. Lineage: Eukaryota; Fungi.